This 253-nucleotide ribosomal RNA is filed under the name uncultured bacterium. RNAcentral describes it as "partial 16S ribosomal RNA". It matches the Rfam family "Bacterial small subunit ribosomal RNA", at positions 524 to 776 of the family's 1533-position model. The record is from RNAcentral.
UACGUAGGGGGCAAGCGUUGUCCGGAAUUAUUGGGCGUAAAGAGCGUGUAGGCGGUCCGGUAAGUCAGCUGUGAAAGUCAAGGGCUCAACCCUUGAAUGCCGGUUGAUACUGUCGGGCUAGAGUCCGGAAGAGGCGAGUGGAAUUCCCGGUGUAGCGGUGGAAUGCGUAGAGAUCGGGAAGAACAUCAGUGGCGAAGGCGGUCUGCUGGGCCGUUGCUGACGCUGAGGCGCGACAGCGUGGGGAGCAAACAGG